AAAGUUCGUUCGGGGUUUUC
This 20-nucleotide microRNA is filed under the name Bos taurus (domestic cattle). Its description in RNAcentral is "bta-miR-2284o". The record is from miRBase by way of RNAcentral. Lineage: Eukaryota; Metazoa; Chordata; Mammalia; Artiodactyla; Bovidae.